Molecule: ribosomal RNA, 385 nt
Filed under: prasinophyte sp.
Lineage: Eukaryota; Viridiplantae; Chlorophyta
Description: partial small subunit ribosomal RNA
Rfam family: Eukaryotic small subunit ribosomal RNA
Source: RNAcentral
AUUCCAGCUCCAAUAGCGUAUAUUUAAGUUGUUGCAGUUAAAAAGCUCGUAGUUGGAUUUCGGGCCCAGGUGACCGGUCCGCCGUUUCGGUGUGCACUGGUUAGCUCGGUCUUUCUGCCGGGGACACGCUCCGUCUUAAUUGCCGGACGUGGAGUCGGCGAUGUUACUUUGAAAAAAUUAGAGUGUUCAAAGCAGGCUUACGCUCUGAAUACUAUAGCAUGGAAUAACACGAUAGGACUCCGAGCCUAUUUUGUUGGUCUUCGGGACCGGAGUAAUGAUUAAGAGGGACAGUUGGGGGCAUUCGUAUUACGGUGUCAGAGGUGAAAUUCUUGGAUUUCCGUAAGACGAACUUCUGCGAAAGCAUUUGCCAAGGAUGUUUUCAUCG